GCGACCCCAGGUCAGGCGGGGCUACCCGCUGAGUUUAAGCAUAUC
Molecule: ribosomal RNA, 45 nt
Filed under: Chenopodium album (lamb's quarters)
Lineage: Eukaryota; Viridiplantae; Streptophyta; Magnoliopsida; Caryophyllales; Amaranthaceae
Also listed under: 1 other name
Description: partial 26S ribosomal RNA
Source: RNAcentral